Molecule: ribosomal RNA, 497 nt
Filed under: uncultured bacterium
Lineage: Bacteria
Description: partial 16S ribosomal RNA
Rfam family: Bacterial small subunit ribosomal RNA
Source: RNAcentral
GAUGAACGCUGGCGGCGUGCCUAAUACAUGCAAGUCGAGCGAACAGACGAGGAGCUUGCUCCUCUGACGUUAGCGGCGGACGUGUGAGUAACACGUGGAUAACCUACCUAUCAGACUGGGAUAACUUCGGGAAACCGGAGCUAAUACCGGAUAAUAUAUUGAACCGCAUUGUUCAAUAGGGAAAGACGGUUUUGCUGUCACUUAUAGCUGGCUCCGCGCCGCAUUAGCUAGUUGGUAAGGUAACGGCUUACCAAGGCAACGAUGCGUAGCCGACCUGAGAGGGUGAUCGGCCACACUGGAACUGAGACACGGUCCAGACUCCUACGGGAGGCAGCAGUAGGGAAUCUGACGCAAUGGGCGAAAGCAUGACGGAGCAACGCCGCGUGAGUGAUGAAGGUCUUCGGAUCGUAAAACUCUGUUAUUAGGGAAGAACAAAUGUGUAAGUAACUAUGCACGUAUUGACGGUACCUAAUCAGAAAGCCACGGCUAACUACGUG